RNAcentral lists this long non-coding RNA (6593 nucleotides) under Sus scrofa (pig). RNAcentral describes it as "lncRNA (ENSSSCG00000057565.1)". Lineage: Eukaryota; Metazoa; Chordata; Mammalia; Artiodactyla; Suidae. The record is from RNAcentral.
GGCUAGGGGUCCAAUCGGAGCUGUAGCCACCGGCCUACGCCAGAGCCACAGCAACGUGGGAUCCAAGCCGCAUCUGCAACCUACAACACAGCUCACGGCAACCCCAGAUCCUUAACCCACUGAGCAAGGGCAGGGACCGAACCCGCAACCUCAUGGCUCCUAGUUGGAUUCGUUAACCACUGCGCCACGACGGGAACUCCUCAUAGUAUCUUUCAUCCUCUUCCAUCACAAGUGAUUGGACAUCGCUCCCUGUGCUGUCCAGCAGGACUCAUUUUAGAAUGGAUAGAUAAUGAAGCCGCAUUCUUUUUUUUUUUUUUUUUGUCAUAACCUACUGCCUCCUUGGCAGUUUCUGCAGCUGCUGGGGUUGUUGGUCCCUUAAGGGCUACAGGGCUUUUUUCUCCAGUUUUCCAAUAUUGGACUGCUAUUACUCGUGCAGGAGGAUUUGGCUCCCAGCACCCAAUUCACACUAAAACAAAAACAAAAACAAGCUGGAAUAUCCAAAGGCAACAACUGCCUUCCCUCCUACAGAAGCAAGGCUCACGUCCUCCUUUGGAACUUUGAUUCUUCAGGGACCUUAGAGGGGUCAAGAGUGACAGUCCCCUCCCUCCAAACCACCUGCUGUGUUAUGGGCCAUCGUGGGAAAUGCAGAUGAAGCAGUUCCCCCUCCCCUCCCGUGGGGCAUAAGUGCAUCCCUGGGAGCUGGUCCCAGCACCUCUGUCUCAGGACUGACCAGCGAUGUGAUCCCAGCACAACCCAGUCUGGCCCAGAGAGAGCCCACAACAAAGUUCACUGAAGCAAAGAAUGGACCUUUGGCCCUGGGGACGCUGCAAACAAACCCCACUUGGGGAAGGAAAAAAAAAAGGCGUAUUAAGACAAAGAAGGGUGGGGGGGGAGGUUGAUGGUAUAAUGUUCACUGUAAAAAGCCAAAAGUCCAUAUAAAUCCAGUAUGAUUUUAAUCACAUAAAAUAACAGGCUUGUAUAGGCACAGAGCAAAAAUCCUAGAUGAAAACACAAACCAAAAUAUUAAUAGUCAUACUCCUGCACCUUUGGCUCAUGCGUGCUUUUAUUUGCUUCUUUAAUUUUUUCCCUAAAUGCCUCAAAGGAGCAUGUGCAAUUUUCCAAAUAAUAAGGAAAAGCUGUAACUAAUUUUUUUUUUUUUAGUACCAUAGUUUUAAAUAAUAAAGUUGAGGGCAUUGCCUGCCUCUCUGAACCCAGAGCUAGCUGCUGGGUGCCAGACCAGGCUCUGACAUCCUAUGGGGUCAAGGCGGAGCUCCCCUGUGCCUGCAGGACCCCAACCAUGACACCAGGAGCUGCCCGUUCCCUGCCUGGGCCCUGGGGAUGGAGAAUGCGAAGGCCUGGUCUCACAGCCAUCUGCCAAACCUCACCACAACCAAGUACAUUUCCACGACUCCCUUCCCCAUAAGCAAGUCAGUAAAUGAAAGCACAUCUCAUACGCAAGGUGGGCCCUUCCUGGUAAAACACAAAAAAACUUAAUCUUUGGUCCAGAAGCAGUAGAUUGCGGCGGCAAGUCAGCAGCCAAAACCAUUAAUCUUUGCCGCGUUCCCCAACCGGCCCGAGUAGUAAAGAAGAUAAUACCCCAGCAGAAUCAGUGACCCACUACAAAUUGGUCCUGAAAGGUCCACCAGCAUAAAUAGACUUUUGCUGAUCCAACACUUGUUAGGAACCCCAACAAAGAGACUAUUGGCUCAUCUGAUGAGCCGCUAGCAAUGGGCCCUUGUAAUGGCUGGUGAUGGAUGACCACCCUCCCUUAGAGGGGAAGACGCAGCUCCUGGUAUGGGGCCCUUUCUCAUCUUAAAUUUGUCCUCAAUAAAUCACAGGUGCAGAGGAGCCGGCAUCAGUUUCAUUACACCUACAUGCUCCAGUAUCAAUCACGCCACCAUGGCGGCCUGUCUGGGAGCAGUUCAUUUCAAGUGGCUUUUUCGGUCCUGAUUCCAUUUCCAUUGAGAUGCGCGCCUCCAUGGGCGGGAGAGAGAAGCUUCUCUCUGAGGGCCUCUGCUCCUUUGGCUUCGGCGCCUACUCCUUCCUCUUUCUCCAUUAAUCUCCGGUUAAGAGCCAUUCGGAGCUCUGCCCUGGGUGGCUGUGCAAAGACUUAGAGUCAGAAAGAUUGGUUUUCAGCUAAUGGCUCAGUGGUUUGCAGACUUGAAGCAAGUCAUCUUCUUGGGCUAAGGCUCAGUUUCUGCAUCUGGAAAAUGGGGCUGAUAACAGCUCUCUGCCGCGAUUGAACACAGUGAUGUGUAUCAAGAGACUGGCGUGGUGCUGGGUCCAAAGCGGACCCUCAACCGAAGUUAGUCCCGGUCCACGCUCUUUCCUGUCUUGGAUGCUGGCUAGAGAGAAAGCAGCACAGGGGUGGCUGAUCCUUGCUUUCCUUUGGUACCUAGGCCCAUGAAAUAGCAGAAAGUCCCCUGUUUCUCUUCAUUGUAUCCACCUGCCUGGACUAUUCCUGGUGCCAGCAAAGGUGUGUCAGUUAUAGCUCAGAAUUUAUGAAGAUGCCGCCACAGCUCGUUUUUACUCUUGUUCCUUUCACUGUAGGCAGUUAAAAUACACUUAAAACAAAGGACACCCGAGAGCUCUCAGACCUCUUCUUAAUGCACAUAAUCAAAUACUGUAAUGUCAUUAAAUGCAUGUAUAAAGCUCAUCAUAAAAGCCGUGAACUUCUGUUUUAAAGAAUCAUAAAUGAGAACAAAUGGUUUCUUUUUAGGUGGACUCUAAGCUGGUCUGCCUGUGGCCACCAGAGGCAGGACCGAGGCACCCUCAGAGACGGCCAGCAGCCUCCUCUGGAGGGCACAGGCCAGCUGCCUCUGCUGUGGGUAGAGCGCUCAAGGCCCAGUGCCGUCCUGGAAAUCAUUAACCACAGCGGCAGAUCUUCUAGCAGAAGGGAGGGGAGCACGGGACCCUGCUCCUGGGACUGUCGCGAAUGUCAGUACAAGUUUUGCAAAAAGACACUUCCAUUCACUCUGAAGAUACAAGAGAGAUGGAGUGACAGAGCCAGGUGGGAAGGAGAGGCAGAGAGAAGGGGGAAGAGAAAAAAAGGGAGAGGAGGGAAAGGCAAGGGAGAGGGAGAUGGUUCAGAAAGCAGGUAGGGAGGGAAAGAGCUAGAAAGAAGAAUGGGACAGGCUUUACCCGAGCAAUCAUAGUUCAUCACCAGCACGGUCUGGCUCAGAGUCUGGAGAAAGAUUCUACCCAGCUACGUGUAGAUGCCAUACCUCUCAGAGAACAGGAUAGACUAGAACAGCAAAGAUGCUGCCGCUGGUGCGGAUGCUGAUGAUACUGAUGGUGCUGAUGCUGAUGCUGCUGAUGCUGCUGAUAUUACUGAGCACUCGCUCUAUGUCCCGUCUUUGGUUUAAGCCCUUUACAAACAUAGCCUCAUUUAAUUCUCCUAAUGACCCCAUAAGGUCGCUGCUACAGUCCAUCAGUUCUAAGAUGGACACUUUCUUUUCCCUGUUUAUCAUCUCUGAAACUGAGAUGCUUUUUACAAUCCCUGUCAGCCUGGCAGUGGUCUCGAUGUCACUGUCAUAGCUAGGAACACACAUCAAAACUUGCAGAGUGGGUUCCUGUGGCUUAAAAUCCUGAGGAAAAUCGAGGAGUGGUUUUUAAACCAAUGUUACCAAUGAUGUUGGCCAUGUUACAGAAGAUGCUAGUGUGUAGAAAAAUAUAAACCACAACAGUUCUGAAUCAAUUUCAGAAUAUAAAGAAGCUUUAGGAAUACCUUAAAUAAACUACUUGGUUUGUAUUUUCCUUUUUACGCAUGUACAAAGGCCUUAUGAUAAAAUCUGUGCCUAAAUAAACCCAAGAGUUCUUUCUGUAAGUAUAAAAUUUAAAAUUCCAGAGUUCCCGUUGUGACAUAGUGGGUUAAGGACCUGACAUUGUCUCUGUGAGGAUGCAGGUUCUACCCUUCUCAGAGGGUUCAGGAUCCGCCGUUGCCGCAAGCUGUGGUGUAGGUCACAGAUGCAGGCUCGGAUCCAGUGUGACUGUGGUGAAGGCCAACAGCUGCAGCUCCGAUUUGACCCCUGGCCCAGGAACUUUCAUAUGCCAUGGGGGGUGGGCAGUAAAAAGAAAAAUAAAUAAAUAAAAUUACUUAAAUUAAAAUUCCAAGGGAUAAGAGAGUUCUUAUAGUUUAAUUAGCAAUAACUCUUUGUCCUAGCAAGAUAUAAAAUAAUGGUGCGGCAUACAAUCACUGGCUUCUUGGACUAAGGGAGACAUAGUACUGUCCCAUCUUACAAAUGAGCACAGUUUCAGGCCUCUUUAUUAUUUGCUUGAAGCCACAGAGAAAAUCAAAACCCCAGAUCUUACUGAUUCCAGAGCCUAUGUUCUCAGCCAUGACUGCUAUUCAUCUCGGCCAUCUCUGGAGCCAGACCAAUAUAGGUUCAAAUUUCAGCUUUGCCACUUAUUGGCUUUGUGACCCAGAAGAGUGAAUUCUAGUGUCCAAGCCACAAAGCAGAGAUGGCGAUGAAACCUGCUUCUCCAGGUUGUAGGGGAGAAAAUAUAUGAAAGUUUUGGCACGGUACCCUGCUCCAAGAAGACAAGAAGACAAGAAGAAGAAGGGAAUUAAAUGAGGGUUUACACAUAGGUCUGUGGGGUCCCAGGAGCAUCCCCUUAGCCUCUGCAGCAGCAGUCAAAGGCUCGAGCUGCACCAGAAGCCCAGAUCUAGGACUGGAAAUGUGGGCACCAAGAAAAGAUGCUUUUAGGGAGUUCCUGUUGUGGCUCAGUGGUAACGAAGCUGACUAGUAUCCACGAGGAUGCAGGCCUCACUCAGUGGGUUAAGGAUGGGGCGUUGUCAUGAGCUGUGGUGUGUAGGCCGAAGAUGCAGCUCAGAUCUGGCAUGGCCGUGGCUGUGGCCAGCACCUGUAGCUCUGAUUCAACUCCUAGCCUGGAACGUCCGUAUGCUGCACCUGCACCCUAAAAAGGCAAAAAAUAAAAGUCAUAAAGGAUGUCUCCCACCCUGAUGCCAAGUAGAACGUGUUUACUGUAGAAAAUUUGGAAAAUACUUUAUCACCAAAAGAUACAACCACACAGAAUCCCAUGACGCACAGAAUAACACCCCACUCGCAUUCAAUGUUUCCUUCCAUAUUUUACGUGAUUGACAGUAUACCCACAACUCUGUACCCUGCUUUUUUUCCCCCACUCAGUAGAAGUGUUUCCCCAUGUUCUUCGAAACUCUUUCACAGCAUCAUUUUUGUUGCUUCCAAUGCUUUAUUGAAUGGGUGGAUCAUAAUCUACUCACCCAUUCCCCUCAAUGUGGGACCACUGGCCAAUUUCUAGUCCACUCUAGUGCACGCUCACGUGCCUAGCACUCUGCUUACAUUCUUAUUUCCUUGGGAUCAGUUAUGUACCAUUGGCAUUGCUAGGUCAGAUGACCUGUACAUUUUUGAGACUUUUGACAGAGAUUGUCGAAUAGCAGUCCAUCUUUUAAAAUGUCUAUUUCAGGAGUUCCCAUCGUGGCACAGUGGAAACAAAUCCAACUAGGAACCAUGAGGUUGAGGGUUCAAUCCCUGGCCUCGCUCCGUGGGUUAAGGAUCCGGCAUUGCUGUGGCUGUGGUGGAGGCCGUCAGCAACAGCUCCAAUUAGGCCACUAGCCUGGGAACCUCCAUAUGCCGUGGGAUGCGGCCCUAAAAAGACAAAAAUAAUAAUUUUAAAAAUAAUAAAAUGUCUAUUUCAACCCAUCUUUGUCGGCAUUGAAUACUAGCAUUUUUAAUUCUCUAUUAGUUUGACAAAUGAAAUUUUGUUUUAAAUGAACAUACUUUGUUUACUGCUUAGCAUGAACUUUCUUUUCAACUUUAUUACUUGAUUAUAUCAGCGAAUUUGUGAGAUUAUAGCUGUUAAGGGCCCAGGCAGUUAAGAGCAGCAGGUGUUGAAUCCUGGCUCCCCACUUACAACCUGUAUCAUUUAGGGCUGACUAUUUAAUUUUUCAAAGCUUUAUCACUCUUCAUUUUUUAAAAUAAAGAGAGAAGAAUAACACCUAGCCCAUAAGGUCUUUGUAAGAAUAAAUGAGAGAUGCCAUGUAAAUUAUACCAGGUACAUAGUAAACGUUCAAUAAAUAACAGCUCCUUGAAUUCUUCUGUAAAUUCUUUUUUUCACGCACUUUCUUCGUUUUUCUCUUAGUAUCUUGAUAUCUUUAGUUUGAAAGAGCUCUAUCUAUAUGAAGGACAUUAGCUCUUUGUCACAUUUAAUGUGACUUUUUAAAUUGGCUUUGAAAGGUGUAUGUUCUUUCUGCUUUGAUGGCCUCUGAAAUUAUCUUUGUGCCACUCAUAGCUAAUAAAGCAACCGAAAGGAGUUUUUUCUAUUAAAUAGAUGCUUAGAAAUAGGAAGGGGAUUGAUUUCCACUGAUGUACCUCAGAAGACAUAACUUCUCAACACUGCAUUUCUAGCAGAAGAGGCAGAAAUAGAUGGGGUUUGUCAUAUCCACAAGACAAAGCCUGAGCUGGGUGCCUAGAGAAUGUUGCUACAGCUAUGACGUGUUGAUGCCUAAACACGGCACCUGGUACUUCAUGUUGGGAAGGAAAUGAUGGGGCUUUCUGGAGCCUACCCUUUCGAAGUUCUGAAUCUGUCCUCACGUUCACAAGAAUAUUUUGGUU